Molecule: long non-coding RNA, 308 nt
Organism: Hibiscus syriacus
Lineage: Eukaryota; Viridiplantae; Streptophyta; Magnoliopsida; Malvales; Malvaceae
Exons: 3
Source: RefSeq, a predicted model, not a curated record
CCAAAAUACUUUGGUUAUUGAUUCUGUUAAGCUGGCUACCCAGUUUUUGGCCCCUAAAGGCACCUUUGUCACCAAGGUUUUUAGGUCCCAAGAUUACAGUUCCGUUCUAUAUUGUCUCAAGCAGCUGUUUGAGGAGGUUAAAGUUUGGAAACCACAUGCUAGUCGCCCAAAAUCAGCUGAGACUUAUGUUUUGGGGCUAAGGUAUAAAGCCCCGGCAAAGAUUGAUCCACGCCUUCUUGAUUUCAAACAUCUGUUUCAGGGAUCGAUAGAACCACAAAAGAAGGUGAUUGAUGUACUUAGGGUAACAA